Molecule: ribosomal RNA, 726 nt
Filed under: uncultured bacterium
Lineage: Bacteria
Description: bacterial SSU rRNA
Rfam family: Bacterial small subunit ribosomal RNA
Source: RNAcentral
CGUGCGUAACACAUGCAAGUCGAACGAAGCAGAAUGAUGCUUGCGUCUUUUUGACUGAGUGGCGGACGGGUGAGUAACGUGUGGAGAACCUACCUUACACAGGGGGAUAACGGCUGGAAACAGCUGCUAAUACCGCAUAAGCAUACAGCUUCGCAUGAAGCCGUGUGAAAAGAAAAAUCGGUGUAAGAUGGCUCCGCAUCUGAUUAGCUAGUUGGUGAGGUAAUGGCUCACCAAGGCAACGAUCAGUAGCCGGCCUGAGAGGGCGACCGGCCACAUUGGGACUGAGACACGGCCCCGACUCCUACGGGAGGCAGCAGUGGGGAAUCUUGCACAAUGGGGGAAACCCUGAUGCAGCAACGCCGCGUGAGCGAAGAAGUAUUUCGGUAUGUAAAGCUCUAUCAGCAGGGAAUAGAAAAGAAGGUACCUGACUAAGAAGCCCCGGCUAACUACGUGCCAGCAGCCGCGGUAAUACGUAGGGGGCAAGCGUUAUCCGGAUUUAUUGGGUGUAAAGGGAGCGUAGACGGCUGUUUAAGUCAGAAGUGAAAGCCCAUUGCUUACCGCUGGGAUUGUUUUUGAAACUAAGGAGCUGGAGUGCAGGAGAGGUAAGUGGAAUUCUUAGUGUAGCGGUGAAAUGCUUAGUGAUUAGGAGGAACACCAGUGGCGAAGGCGGCUUAUUGGACUGUAACUGACGUUGAGGCUGGAAAGCGUGGGGAGCAACCAGGAUUA